AUUCAAAAGUUUAGAAUUGAAUCUUUGUAAGUUUGCAGCGAUGAAUACAAAAGCAUUUCUAUUUUUGUUAGUUGCCGUUUUUACGGUUGCCUUGAUUUCCGAUGUUAUGGCUGAUCCAUCAGCUGAAGCAAACCCUGCUUUGCUCUCACGAUCUAAGAGGGAUCUUUUACAGGAUAUUAUUAAUUACAUUCUUUCUUUAAUUCCUGUUCCGAUAAAAGAAGCCAUUUUGGAAGAAAUAGAAAAUAUAAAGGGCUUUAUGUCAUUAUUAUUUUGAACUAAAAUGCACUUAAGAUAAGCUAUGGUAUAAAAAGAUUGUGCUUAAAUGAUUGUGGCAUAAUAUAAUGGUAAUAUUAUCUAUGGUAUUAUAAAAAACACAAAGAUGUUUUUGAUGUAAAAAUUGAAUGUAAAAUAAAUAAAUAAUAUGCAA
Formica exsecta is the source of this 427-nucleotide long non-coding RNA. RefSeq lists it as uncharacterized. NCBI's taxonomy places the organism in Eukaryota, Metazoa, Arthropoda, Insecta, Hymenoptera, Formicidae. The record is from RefSeq and is a predicted model, not a curated record. The transcript is spliced from 2 exons.